UACGUUCCCGGGCCUUGUACACACCGCCCGUCACACCAUGGAAGCCGGUAACACCCGAAGCCGGUGGCCUAACCCGCAAGGGAGGGGGCCGUCGAAGGUGGGAUUGGUGACUGGGGUG
RNAcentral lists this ribosomal RNA (118 nucleotides) under uncultured bacterium. Its description in RNAcentral is "partial 16S ribosomal RNA". It matches the Rfam family "Bacterial small subunit ribosomal RNA", at positions 1367 to 1482 of the family's 1533-position model. The record is from RNAcentral.